UAGGGCAGCACUGCGUAUCCCAGCCCCUUGGUCCUACAGCAGAACCGUCUCUCCCCAACUGAUUUUUGAGAGAUGUUUGUCUGACCUGUUUUUUGAGAGCUCCGGUGGCAGAGACUGCAUACCCUCCCGAGAACAUAUUUGCAGGGACCUGAGGCAAGCUAGAAGUCAUUCAGCAUAUCUUCAUCUCGGUGGUCUUCUUUCUAGAUGGAAGCAGCCCCCCUGAGAGGCAGCCCUCAUAAGGGGCAGGGAGAUUUAAUAAAUUCCCCACGAUCCUACAGGAAAACA
Molecule: long non-coding RNA, 285 nt
Organism: Dromaius novaehollandiae (emu)
Lineage: Eukaryota; Metazoa; Chordata; Aves; Casuariiformes; Dromaiidae
Exons: 2
Source: RefSeq, a predicted model, not a curated record